UGACUGCCUAGCGGGCAGGGAACGCAUUUUAUGUGGUUUCUUGACUGCCUAGCGGGCAGGGAACGCAUUUUAUGUGGUUUCUUGACUGCCUAGCGGGCAGGGAACGCAUUUUAUGUG
Long non-coding RNA from Pelobates fuscus (common spadefoot toad), 117 nucleotides. RefSeq lists it as uncharacterized. Lineage: Eukaryota; Metazoa; Chordata; Amphibia; Anura; Pelobatidae. The record is from RefSeq and is a predicted model, not a curated record. The transcript has 3 exons.